RNAcentral lists this microRNA precursor (128 nucleotides) under Cricetulus griseus (Chinese hamster). Its description in RNAcentral is "miRNA (ENSCGRG00001002777.1)". Lineage: Eukaryota; Metazoa; Chordata; Mammalia; Rodentia; Cricetidae. The record is from RNAcentral.
GGUUUCUCUGUGUAGCCUUGGCUGUCCUGGAACUCACUCUGUAGACCAGGCUGGCCUCGAGCUCACAGAAAUCCUCCUGCCUCUGCCUCCCAAGUGCUGAGACUAAAGGCGUGCGCCACCACUGCCUG